RNAcentral lists this ribosomal RNA (136 nucleotides) under Cheilolejeunea roccatii. RNAcentral's name for it is "Evansiolejeunea roccatii partial 18S ribosomal RNA". It matches the Rfam family "Eukaryotic small subunit ribosomal RNA", at positions 1701 to 1831 of the family's 1831-position model. Lineage: Eukaryota; Viridiplantae; Streptophyta; Jungermanniopsida; Porellales; Lejeuneaceae. The record is from RNAcentral.
GUGAAGUUUUUCGGAUCGCGGCGACGCCGGCGGUUCGCCGCCGGUGUUGUGGUGAGAAGUUCAUUAAACCUUAUCAUUUAGAGGAAGGAGAAGUCGUAACAAGGUUUCCGUAGGUGAACCUGCGGAAGGAUCAUUG